RNAcentral lists this ribosomal RNA (404 nucleotides) under uncultured bacterium. RNAcentral describes it as "bacterial SSU rRNA". It matches the Rfam family "Bacterial small subunit ribosomal RNA", at positions 355 to 776 of the family's 1533-position model. The record is from RNAcentral.
UGGGGAAUAUUGCACAAUGGGGGAAACCCUGAUGCAGCAACGCCGCGUGAGCGAAGAAGUAUUUCGGUAUGUAAAGCUCUAUCAGCAGGGAAGAAAAUGACGGUACCUGAGUAAGAAGCCCCGGCUAACUACGUGCCAGCAGCCGCGGUAAUACGUAGGGGGCAAGCGUUAUCCGGAUUUACUGGGUGUAAAGGGAGCGUAGACGGCGAGGCAAGUCUGAUGUGAAAGGCCGGGGCUCAACCCCGGGACUGCAUUGGAAACUGUUUUGCUUGAGUGCCGGAGGGGUAAGCGGAAUUCCUAGUGUAGCGGUGAAAUGCGUAGAUAUUAGGAGGAACACCAGUGGCGAAGGCGGCUUACUGGACGGCAACUGACGUUGAGGCUCGAAAGCGUGGGGAGCAAACAGG